This 133-nucleotide long non-coding RNA is filed under the name Monodelphis domestica (gray short-tailed opossum). RNAcentral describes it as "lncRNA (ENSMODG00000035467.2)". The record is from RNAcentral. Lineage: Eukaryota; Metazoa; Chordata; Mammalia; Didelphimorphia; Didelphidae.
AGAUUUCAAAAGCCUAGGGUUUCUGAGAGACACACACAAAGGGAUGAGAAGAAAAGAUUGGGAACAGCUAUUGUGCACAGAGUCUGGAUCAUCGCUGAAUUCAAUUGACAUCUGAAUUUUACUGGUGAAGAUA